UAGGGAAUCUUCCGCAAUGGGCGAAAGCCUGACGGAGCAACGCCGCGUGAGUGAUGAAGGUCUUCGGAUCGUAAAACUCUGUUAUUAGGGAAGAACAAAUGUGUAAGUAACUAUGCACGUCUUGACGGUACCUAAUCAGAAAGCCACGGCUAACUACGUGCCAGCAGCCGCGGUAAUACGUAGGUGGCAAGCGUUAUCCGGAAUUAUUGGGCGUAAAGCGCGCGUAGGCGGUUUUUUAAGUCUGAUGUGAAAGCCCACGGCUCAACCGUGGAGGGUCAUUGGAAACUGGAAAACUUGAGUGCAGAAGAGGAAAGUUGAAUUCCAUGUGUAGCGGUGAAAUGAGCAGAGAUAUGGAGGAACACCAGUGGCGAAAGCGACUUUCUGGUCUGUAACUGACGCUGAUGUGCGAAAGCGUGGGGAUCAAACAGG
Molecule: ribosomal RNA, 429 nt
Filed under: Actinomycetes bacterium
Lineage: Bacteria; Bacillati; Actinomycetota; Actinomycetes
Description: Actinobacteria bacterium partial 16S ribosomal RNA
Rfam family: Bacterial small subunit ribosomal RNA
Source: RNAcentral